Molecule: unclassified non-coding RNA, 330 nt
Filed under: soil metagenome
Description: partial contains 5.8S ribosomal RNA, internal transcribed spacer 2, and large subunit ribosomal RNA
Rfam family: 5.8S ribosomal RNA (bases 1-120)
Source: RNAcentral
GAUGAAGAACGCAGCGAAACGCGAUAUGUAAUGUGAAUUGCAGAAUUCAGUGAAUCAUCGAAUCUUUGAACGCACAUUGCGCCCCCUGGUAUUCCGGGGGGCAUGCCUGUUCGAGCGUCAUUUCACCACUCAAGCCUCGCUUGGUAUUGGGCAACGCGGUCCGCCGCGUGCCUCAAAUCGACCGGCUGGGUCUUCUGUCCCCUAAGCGUUGUGGAAACUUUCGCUAAAGGGUGUUCGGGAGGCUACGCCGUAAAACAACCCCAUUUCUAAGGUUGACCUCGGAUCAGGUAGGGAUACCCGCUGAACUUAAGCAUAUCAAUAAGCGGAGGA